GACGUAGGGCGCGAGCGUUGUCCGGAUUUAUUGGGCGUAAAGAGCUCGUAGGCGGCUUGUCGCGUCGUUCGUGAAAACCCACGGCUCAACUGUGGGCUUGCGGUCGAUACGGGCAGGCUGGAGUUCGGUAGGGGAGACUGGAAUUCCUGGUGUAGCGGUGAAAUGCGCAGAUAUCAGGAGGAACACCGGUGGCGAAGGCGGGUCUCUGGGCAGUAACUGACGCUGAGGAGCGAAAGCGUGGGGAGCGAACAGG
This 253-nucleotide ribosomal RNA is filed under the name uncultured bacterium. RNAcentral's name for it is "partial 16S ribosomal RNA". It matches the Rfam family "Bacterial small subunit ribosomal RNA", at positions 524 to 776 of the family's 1533-position model. The record is from RNAcentral.